Molecule: ribosomal RNA, 465 nt
Filed under: Vreelandella stevensii
Lineage: Bacteria; Pseudomonadati; Pseudomonadota; Gammaproteobacteria; Oceanospirillales; Halomonadaceae
Description: partial 16S ribosomal RNA
Rfam family: Bacterial small subunit ribosomal RNA
Source: RNAcentral
CCUACGGGUGGCAGCAGUGGGGAAUAUUGGACAAUGGGCGAAAGCCUGAUCCAGCCAUGCCGCGUGUGUGAAGAAGGCCUUCGGGUUGUAAAGCACUUUCAGUGGGGAAGAAAGCCUUGGGGCUAAUACCCUCGAGGAAGGACAUCACCCACAGAAGAAGCACCGGCUAACUCCGUGCCAGCAGCCGCGGUAAUACGGAGGGUGCGAGCGUUAAUCGGAAUUACUGGGCGUAAAGCGCGCGUAGGCGGUCUGAUAAGCCGGUUGUGAAAGCCCCGGGCUCAACCUGGGAACGGCAUCCGGACCUGUCAGGCUAGAGUGCAGGAGAGGAAGGUAGAAUUCCCGGUGUAGCGGUGAAAUGCGUAGAGAUCGGGAGGAAUACCAGUGGCGAAGGCGGCCUUCUGGACUGACACUGACGCUGAGGUGCGAAAGCGUGGGUAGCAAACAGGAUUAGAUACCCGUGUAGUC